RNAcentral lists this ribosomal RNA (253 nucleotides) under uncultured bacterium. Its description in RNAcentral is "partial 16S ribosomal RNA". It matches the Rfam family "Bacterial small subunit ribosomal RNA", at positions 524 to 776 of the family's 1533-position model. The record is from RNAcentral.
UACGGGGGGGGCAAGCGUUGUUCGGAAUUACUGGGCGUAAAGCGCACGUAGGCGGAUUUGUUAGUCAGGGGUGAAAUCCCGGGGCUCAACCUCGGAACUGCCUUUGAUACUGCAAGUCUCGAGUCCGGAAGAGGUGAGUGGAAUUCCUAGUGUAGAGGUGAAAUUCGUAGAUAUUAGGAAGAACACCAAUGGCGAAAGCAGCUCUCUGGGACGGUACUGACGCUGAGACGCGAAAGCGUGGGGAGCGAACAGG